AUGAACGCUGGCGGCGUGCCUAAUACAUGCAAGUCGAGCGAACGGACGAGAAGCUUGCUUCUCUGAUGUUAGCGGCGGACGGGUGAGUAACACGUGGAUAACCUACCUAUAAGACUGGGAUAACUUCGGGAAACCGGAGCUAAUACCGGAUAAUAUUUUGAACCGCAUGGUUCAAAAGUGAAAGACGGUCUUGCUGUCACUUAUAGAUGGAUCCGCGCUGCAUUAGCUAGUUGGUAAGGUAACGGCUUACCAAGGCAACGAUGCAUAGCUGACCUGAGAGGGUGAUCGGCCACACUGGAACUGAGACACGGUCCAGACUCCUACGGGAGGCAGCAGUAGGGAAUCUUCCGCAAUGGGCGAAAGCCUGACGGAGCAACGCCGCGUGAGUGAUGAAGGUCUUCGGAUCGUAAAACUCUGUUAUUAGGGAAGAACAUAUGUGUAAGUAACUGUGCACAUCUUGACGGUACCUAAUCAGAAAGCCACGGCUAACUACGUG
This 496-nucleotide ribosomal RNA is filed under the name uncultured bacterium. RNAcentral's name for it is "partial 16S ribosomal RNA". It matches the Rfam family "Bacterial small subunit ribosomal RNA", at positions 29 to 507 of the family's 1533-position model. The record is from RNAcentral.